CAAACUGCAAGACUAUUAUGAAGAGAAAACAACUGUGACAAAUUGAUUUAGUAUUACAAUCGGAAAAAAGUAAAAUUAGAUAAAGUCUUCGAAAUUUCAUUUCUUUGCUCAAGAAACAGUCUGAACACUUUACAAAAGACAUGCAACUGGAAAAUGUCUAUUAUGAAACUAAUAGCCUCAUGAAUGAGACGACAUGCCACCUCCUUCCAUUGCCACAAUUGGCAGGCUCACUUAGUUGACAUCAGAAGCUACACGUUUCCUGUCUCCAUUGUGAGUAGUUGGUGUUUGAUGUUUGAAAUGGCAAAAAAAUAUCUAUAAGAAGCAUCCAUAACACCAGUUGAUCUGUUGGAUAUCCGGCAAUGGAAAACUUGUUUUGUGGCCUUGCCACAUUCACAUGAGAGCUAUGGACGGUGGCUAUCUGCAAAAUAACUCGUUAGUACAUAUCCCACUCACCAGAUCUUGGAAUUCAACAUUAAAUAAUUAGGAGUGAUAAAUUAAUAGAUCCAUGCAUGUAUUGCAACACACGAAGAAAUUACAGGUAGUAAAAGGAAGAAUGCUACACAGCUUCACAAAAGGAAGAGUAAGAAAAAUCAGCGAUAUGAAGGAAAGUUCUACCUUUUCUAUUUCAUGGCGGAGUUCGAUAUUUUCAGACCAACUUCAAUUGAGAAUGGACAUGCCAUGCUACCCACCGAAGCCAGCUAUGUGCUGCUCAAAUAGACAAAUACUGCCGAGUAAUUGUGAAGCAACGUUUUGGAACUAUUGGCUCGCUUAUAGAUAUCGGCAUACUGCCGGGAUGAAAAUGGAAAUGAUCAAUAGCAGACUAGUUAGGCUAUCGGCGUACUGCCGGGAUGAAAAAUUGAAAUGAUCAAUAGCGGACUGAAUAAGUUAUGUAUGCAAAAGCAUGCAUAUAACCAUGUAGAUGAAUUAAUAUUAAAUGGG
Molecule: long non-coding RNA, 939 nt
Filed under: Triticum aestivum (bread wheat)
Lineage: Eukaryota; Viridiplantae; Streptophyta; Magnoliopsida; Poales; Poaceae
Description: long non-coding RNA (TAES_LNC020909)
Source: RNAcentral